Long non-coding RNA from Cottoperca gobio, 769 nucleotides. The record is from Ensembl. NCBI's taxonomy places the organism in Eukaryota, Metazoa, Chordata, Actinopteri, Perciformes, Bovichtidae.
AUGAAUUAUAUUUCUUUGGCUAACUGGGAUCCUCUGACCACAGAUCCCCUUCCUGUUCAGACCUUCAUCAUCGUCGGUGCGGUGGUCGGGGUGGUGGCACUUCUUGUCAUCAUCGCUGCUGUUCUCAUCGCAUACAAGAAGAGAGUCAAAGUGACGGAGGAUGUUCAAACACCAACCCAACAGCCUGAUGAGCCAGAGCUGACCUACAUCACUGUCAGCCACCGGCCGCCCGCUCCUCACAAGAAGGUCAAAGAGCAGGAUGUGACAUAUUCUACAAUCAAUAUUGGUGACGACGGGAGCAGACGAUGAUCCCUCUGCAGCUUUGUCAGCAAAGCGGAAGAAAUCAGAAGAAAUAAGACUUGACACGUGUGGUGUUCAUAGAUCCUGCCGUGUGUUCGUUGUGUUAGCUUGUGUAGGACAUGCUUUGCUUAGCGUUAGGAUGGUGCUUCCAUUUAACGGCACACUCUAGGUCAGACCUGGAGUUCUAUUACUUAGUUUAUGAUUUUAAAAAGACAAAACCCAUUAACCAGAAUUGGCAACAUGGUUCCUUAUCGCACGCAAAAAAGUUUGUAUCGCUGUAGAGAAAAAAUGCAGAACAUUACAGUUCUUAUUCAAGAUAGUCAGUUAAUAAAAUGACCCUGAAUAGUCGAAUGUUCUUUCUUGUGAACAUAUUGUCGCAUCCAACGAUGGCAUUUAGUAUUGUACUGGAAUCAUUUAUGUUGUGUUUGUAAUUUUGUGUCAUAUUGCAUUAUCAGUGCUACGAUAUCCA